GUGCCAGCCGCCGCGGUAAUACGGAAGAUCCGAGCGUUAUCCGGAUUUAUUGGGUUUAAAGGGAGCGUAGGCGNGCCUUUAAGUCAGUGGUCAAAGCGUGUGGCUCAACCAUACCACGCCAUUGAUACUGGAGGCCUUGAGUGCACAUAAGGNUGGUGGAAUUCAUGGUGUAGCGGUGAAAUGCUUAGAUAUCAUGAAGAACUCCGAUUGCGAAGGCAGCUGUCCGGGGUGUAACUGACGCUAAUGCUCGAAAGUGCGGGUAUCAAACAGGAUUAGAUACCCUGGUAGUCCGCACAGUAAACGAUGGAUACUCGCAGUUGGCGAUACAUUGUCAGCUGCCAAGCGAAACAUUAAGUAUCCCACCUGGGGAGUACGCCGGCAACGGUGAAACUCAAAGGAAUUGACGGGGGCCCGCACAAGCGGAGGAACAUGUGGUUUAAUUCGAUGAUACGCGAGGAACCUUACCCGGGCUUGAAUUGCUGGUGACAGGAUCAGAGAUGGUCUUUUCUUCGGACACCAGUGAAGGUGCUGCAUGGUUGUCGUCAGCUCGUGCCGUGAGGUGUCGGCUUAAGUGCCAUAACGAGCGCAACCCCUUUCGCCAGUUGCCAUCAGGUGAUGCUGGGCACUCUGGCGAUACUGCCAUCGCAAGAUGUGAGGAAGGUGGGGAUGACGUCAAAUCAGCACGGCCCUUACGUCCGGGGCUACACACGUGUUACAAUGGGGGGUACAGAAGGCCGCUACCCUGCGAGGGGAUGCCAAUCUCCAAAACCCUUCUCAGUUCGGACUGGAGUCUGCAACCCGACUCCACGAAGCUGGAUUCGCUAGUAAUCGCGCAUCAGCCAUGGCGCGGUGAAUACGUUCCCGGGCCUUGUACACACCGCCCGA
RNAcentral lists this ribosomal RNA (885 nucleotides) under uncultured bacterium. RNAcentral describes it as "bacterial SSU rRNA". It matches the Rfam family "Bacterial small subunit ribosomal RNA", at positions 505 to 1397 of the family's 1533-position model. The record is from RNAcentral.